This 448-nucleotide ribosomal RNA is filed under the name uncultured bacterium. RNAcentral describes it as "bacterial SSU rRNA". It matches the Rfam family "Bacterial small subunit ribosomal RNA", at positions 335 to 801 of the family's 1533-position model. The record is from RNAcentral.
ACUCCUACGGGAGGCAGCAGUGGGGAAUCUUGGACAAUGGGCGCAAGCCUGAUCCAGCCAUGCCGCGUGAGCGAUGAAGGCCUUAGGGUCGUAAAACUCUUUCGCCAGGGAUGAUAAUGACAGUACCUGGUAAAGAAACCCCGGCUAACUCCGUGCCAGCAGCCGCGGUAAUACGGAGGGGUUAGCGUUGUUCGGAAUUACUGGGGCGUAAAGCGCGCGUAGGCGGAUUAGUUAGUCAGAGGUGAAAUCCCGGGGCUCAACCCCGGAACUGCCUUUGAUACUGCUAGUCUUGAGUUCGAGAGAGGUGAGUGGAAUUCCGAGUGUAGAGGUGAAAUUCGUAGAUAUUCGGAGGAACACCAGUGGCGAAGGCGGCUCACUGGCUCGAUACUGACGCUGAGGUGCGAAAGUGUGGGGAGCAAACAGGAUUAGAUACCCUGGUAGCUACGAG